Long non-coding RNA from Bubalus bubalis (water buffalo), 1503 nucleotides. RefSeq lists it as uncharacterized. Lineage: Eukaryota; Metazoa; Chordata; Mammalia; Artiodactyla; Bovidae. The record is from RefSeq and is a predicted model, not a curated record. The transcript has 3 exons.
GUUUGAGCCACUGGGAUCUCGUCCAAGGACUCGCCAGACGCCGAGUGAUAGACUUCUGCAGGGCUGGCGUCCGCGGAGUCCGACAACGAGCUGGAGCGGCGGCCGGGGGUCCGGGGCCCUAUGGGGUUGGAAGAGAACUUGCUGAUCCUCGCAGUGACCGUUGGAGCAGCCGACCCAACGCCUGAAAGUGAGGCCGGGAGGUAGCAGGAGUGGCCUGGGCUUGCACCCUAGCACACAGCAUGCGCCCCUGCCGCGCCCGAGAAGACUGCAGGUGAGGAAACAAAAGCCAGAAAAGCGGCCAGAGAUGGGAACCUGGAGGAGGAUGUGGGGCGGGGCCUCGUCCUGGCCCCGCCCCCAUCGAGCUGGGGGCAGGGCACCGGACAGCUGUCGCUGGCUCGACAGUUGUUUCCAUGGAGACCCAGGCGUCCUGACUAAUGCAGAGAAGACACUAUAACAGCAACGCCGUCUCUAAAACAAGCCUAUGUUUGGGGGCAACGGCUCCAGAGUGGGGCCCCUCCCGCAUUCCUGCUCAGGGUGGGGGUGGGGAGGCUGCCUGCAGGACAGCCCUAGCAGGUCUGGGGGACGAGCCCAGCCAGUCAUGGGUUGGCUACACAGAUGCGGAGAAGGAGGCCCCAGGCAAGCCCUGUGUGCAACAUCUGCUCAGGCUGGCCCUUUGGAGAGGACCAAAGCCCAGUCACAAGGACUGGGACAUCAAGGGCACUCUGGCUACAGAGAGAGACAGAAUGGCUGGAGUGAGAGCAUGUGCAGGGAGACCUGUUUGGAGACGAAAUGGUCAUCUAGGUAAGAGAGGCAGCUGGCAGUGGGGAGAAAAGAGGGCAAAUACAAUACCUUUUAGGAGGCAAAAUCAACAGGACCUGAUGACUGACUGGAUAUAGAUGAUGAAGGGAGAGGGUGGAGCCAAGAAUACUGAGCGAGGCCAGGAGGAAGGAAGGCAGGGAGCUGAGAGCAAUAGGAGCGCAUUCGGGCCCCCAGUGAUGUUUGUCUACAUGGCCCUCCUCCUGCACCCACAUUCUGCUGAAUGAGUCCCUGCCCUCUUACUUACCAAGUGAUAAUCUCCACACUACUAGGCUUUCCUCCAGUUGGAAGCUGAGCACCGAGAACUGGGGCCCUGUGUUCUCAUCCUUGCAACCCCAGGGCCCAGGCCAGUUCUAGGCACAAGGUGAGUGCUUGGUACACACAAUUACCCUACUUCAUUCUUCAGGGGCCCUAAGGGAGCCUGCAGAAGGAAGGUAGCUUUGAUGGAAAGACAGAACCAUUCAGGCCAAGAAAUGAGAGUGCAAACCAGGUGGUUCUGUGAGCCUCCAGCAUUACCCAAAGCAGUAAAUAUGGAGAAGACAAAACCCUCAAACCAUCCCACUUGCCUCCGAGUCAGGCUGCCUGGGCAGUCCUUCUGGCCUCACUGGAUACCAGCGAUGUGACCUCAUGAAGUCAUUUAAUCUCUCUAAGCCCCAGUUUCUUUCUUUCUUUUUUUUUUUAAUUAAA